Molecule: microRNA precursor, 133 nt
Filed under: Paeonia lactiflora (Chinese peony)
Lineage: Eukaryota; Viridiplantae; Streptophyta; Magnoliopsida; Saxifragales; Paeoniaceae
Description: miR11612 stem-loop (pla-MIR11612)
Source: miRBase by way of RNAcentral
CGCAAACAAGUGUGGCGUUGUGGAACUGUCUUUCCAACCGCCGCUGAGCAGGUGCACUCCCUUGAGUCCCUUCGUUGUUGAGCUAACUCGGCGUCUAUGGGAAAGACGGUCCAAAACGCCCACACUGGUUUGC